RNAcentral lists this small RNA (770 nucleotides) under Drosophila virilis. RNAcentral describes it as "GJ26750". The record is from RNAcentral. Lineage: Eukaryota; Metazoa; Arthropoda; Insecta; Diptera; Drosophilidae.
CAUAGCAGUAGGAGCUUAAAAAUAAGAUCAAACAAACACAACUUUUUUGGAAAACAAAAAAAAACCAACAAAUAUAAUUACAAAACGCAUAUCUAGAGUACUCCAGCACUCCAGAUUUUAGUUUAAGUAAAAAGUGCAGUUUUCAAAAAAGAAGCCAAGAGCUCGAGUGUUUGCGAAGGACCAUAAUCAACUGAUAGCUAGACAUCCGAAUUGGACCAAAUAUAAAUCGGGACAAAUUGGAAUUAAAAAUAAUUAACACAUCAUACACCUGUAACUCCUUAUACAACAUAAUACACUCGGAUACGUAAUACAUACUACAGACCCAACGGAGAUCAAUGCAACACUAGACUAUGGAAAAAACACAUGUGCAAUCGCGUUACACAAUGAAACACCAAGUAUAUCCAUAUCCAUAUUCACGUCUACAUAAUAUCGAUGCUCAUUCACGUUACACUUUCAGUAACAUUUUGAAACAUCGGAGGACUGGAAUCGACUGUAGUAACACUACUUGUGCAUAACACUAUACAACACUGUUACACUGUUACAUAUAGCUUUUAUACUAAUAGCUUGUUCGGUAACACUCGUCGCAGGAGUGGAAUAAUCGACCAUAACACUGAACACUUGAAAAAACUACCUGUGCAAUCGCGUGACUCUCAUCAUUGUCAACGGUUUCAUCAUCGGAGAAGGAGCGGAUUAAUCGACGGUGGUAACUUUUGUUUGCCUGGCACUCAAUUUACGAAAAGCCGAAGCCUUAAAUAUAUAUUUUGUAAGGA